Molecule: long non-coding RNA, 350 nt
Filed under: Salmo salar (Atlantic salmon)
Lineage: Eukaryota; Metazoa; Chordata; Actinopteri; Salmoniformes; Salmonidae
Description: lncRNA (ENSSSAG00000093563.1)
Source: RNAcentral
GGGAAAUCGCGGUCUUUUCCUUAUUGCAGUAAAAGUUCUCAGUGAGGAAACAAUACCGUAUCACACUCGUGAUUAUUUCUCCCCUUUUUCAGGGGCGUAACAUUUUUGGAGGCUCCGCUGAGAUUGCUGCUCAGAUGUCCAGUUUCCACAUCCUGGUCGCUGAAUUCCGAGCCAGCUAAAUCCUCACAUAACUCAGGCAGGCUGCAGUGAGGAAAGUGUUGCUGUUCAAGGGGAGCUGGAAGUUGGUGGUUAAGUACGUGUCAGCUGAGGCCAUUGAUCGACCAUCAGAGACAGAUGAGGGCCAUAGACCCCAGGAGGAAGGAGGAGGGCCAUGGACCCCAGGAGGAAGG